GGAAAGAGAGAAGGAGAGACAGAGGAGACUGUGCUGAGAUGUUUAGAGAGAGGAUUUCGGGAUUCAAGCUGCAGCAAUAUUAACGAGGAAAGGAGGGUAGGGCAGCCCAGAAAACAAACGAGCUCUCACGUGAGUUUCAAAAGAGACGGAGUAGAAGACACACAAACAUUCCUAAUUCCUUGCCUUGGCUGGAUAACACGGCUGCAAAAGUAGCCCAAGCCAAGACACCUAGAUGCUCUUCACUGGCCCCUCUCCUUAAAGAAAGCCCAGUUCUAGAAGAAAACCAGAACCGUCCACCAAAUGGCACAGGGCGCCCGUGACAGCGCCAGUGGAAUGUGGCCGUAGGUACCAGCCAAAAAGACAAACCGAGCGACCCUCUUCAGUAGCAACGAGGAGCAAAGCUUCCAGAUGCACUCACUUGGUUUCCGUGAACACAGGCUGGAGGUUGGGGGUGCGUAUAGACUAAAUGAUGC
Molecule: long non-coding RNA, 473 nt
Organism: Phyllostomus discolor (pale spear-nosed bat)
Lineage: Eukaryota; Metazoa; Chordata; Mammalia; Chiroptera; Phyllostomidae
Exons: 3
Source: RefSeq, a predicted model, not a curated record